GGAGGGGACCCAAACCUUCUGAAUUUUUUAAUAAGUAUCUUCUGAGUGGUUAAAAAAAUGAAUCAAAACUUUCAACAACGGAUCUCUUGGUUCUGGCAUCGAUGAAGAACGCAGCGAAAUGCGAUAAGUAAUGUGAAUUGCAGAAUUCAGUGAAUCAUCGAAUCUUUGAACGCACAUUGCGCCCGUCAGUAUUCUGGCGGGCAUGCCUGUUCGAGCGUCAUUACGCCCCUCAAGUCCCCUGUGGACUUGGUGUUGGGGAUCGGCGAGGCUGGUUUUCCAGCACAGCCGUCCCUUAAAUUAAUUGGCGGUCUCGCCGUGGCCCUCCUCUGCGCAGUAGUAAAACACUCGCAACAGGAGCCCGGCGCGGUCCACUGCCGUAAAACCCCCCAACUUUUUAUAGUUGACCUCGAAUCAGGUAGGACUACCCGCUGAACUUAAGCAUAUCAAUAAGCGGA
RNAcentral lists this ribosomal RNA (455 nucleotides) under Metarhizium anisopliae. RNAcentral's name for it is "eukaryotic LSU rRNA". The stretch from base 67 to 220 matches the Rfam family "5.8S ribosomal RNA". The record is from RNAcentral. Lineage: Eukaryota; Fungi; Ascomycota; Sordariomycetes; Hypocreales; Clavicipitaceae.